RNAcentral lists this ribosomal RNA (93 nucleotides) under Cebus imitator (Panamanian white-faced capuchin). Lineage: Eukaryota; Metazoa; Chordata; Mammalia; Primates; Cebidae. The record is from RNAcentral.
GUCUACAGCAAUACCACAUUGAAUGUGCCCGAUUUCAUCUGAUCUCAGGAAGCUAAGCAGGGUCGGGCCUGGUUAGUGCUAGGAUGGGAGAUU